RNAcentral lists this ribosomal RNA (253 nucleotides) under uncultured bacterium. RNAcentral's name for it is "partial 16S ribosomal RNA". It matches the Rfam family "Bacterial small subunit ribosomal RNA", at positions 524 to 776 of the family's 1533-position model. The record is from RNAcentral.
UACGUAGGGUGCAAGCGUUGUCCGGAUUUACUGGGCGUACAGCGCGCGCAGGCGGCCUCGUAUGUGACCGGUGACAUCCUCGGGCUCAACCCGAGGCGGCCCGGUUAGACAGCGGAGCUGGAGGCAGGGAGAGGGAUGUGGAAUACCCGGUGGAGCGGUGAAAUGCGUAGAGAUCGGGUGGAACACCAGCGGCGAAGGCGGCAUCCUGGCCCUGACCUGACGCUGAGGCGCGAUAGCGUGGGGAGCAAACGGG